UAAGUUAAACGGCCGCGGUAUCCUGACCGUGCAAAGGUAGCAUAAUCAUUUGUUCCUUAAUUAGGGACUAGUAUGAAUGGCUAGACGAGGGUUCAACUGUCUCUUAUUCUCAAUCAGUGAAAUUGACCUUCCAGUGAAGAGGCUGGAAUAACAUAAUAAGACGAGAAGACCCUAUGGAGCUUAAAUUAAUUAGCCUAAUUAUUAAAACAAACAACCUAAUGGAACAACAAACAAAAAAAAAUAAGCUAAUAAUUUCGGUUGGGGUGACCUCGGAGAAUAAAAAAACCUCCGAAUGAUUAUAGCAUAGAUUAACAAAUCAAAGCAACUUACCAAAUCUUAUUGACCCAAAAAUCUUGAUCAACGAACCAAGUUACCCUAGGGAUAACAGCGCAAUCCUAUUUAAGAGUUCAUAUCGACAAUUAGGGUUUACGACCUCGAUGUUGGAUCAGGACAUCCCAA
RNAcentral lists this ribosomal RNA (459 nucleotides) under Dasymys rufulus (West African shaggy rat). Its description in RNAcentral is "partial 16S ribosomal RNA". It matches the Rfam family "Bacterial large subunit ribosomal RNA", at positions 1919 to 2550 of the family's 2925-position model. The record is from RNAcentral. Lineage: Eukaryota; Metazoa; Chordata; Mammalia; Rodentia; Muridae.